This is a long non-coding RNA of Spinacia oleracea (spinach), 1767 nucleotides long. RefSeq lists it as uncharacterized. The record is from RefSeq and is a predicted model, not a curated record. NCBI's taxonomy places the organism in Eukaryota, Viridiplantae, Streptophyta, Magnoliopsida, Caryophyllales, Amaranthaceae. The transcript has 4 exons.
CCUAAUAAAUGGACAAAGCAUUUACUGGCUGUAAGAUCUUUAGAGAGUGUGCUAUUGAGGGAAUGAAAAUUGUCACUAGUACAAAAGGGUCUAAUUUUGCUGGUCUAGUAAAUAACAUUCAAGUGCUUACUGAGCAUUCAGCUCUAUAUGGUGGAAAAUGUCAGAAAAUACUGAUACAAAGAAAUAUUUUGCAAUAUGAAUAAAACUGUAAUAAUCGUUAUUAAUAAUCCCCGUUUCGUAGAGGAAUUGGGGGAAUAUGGUGGUAGUGGGGAAGGAAGAAAAGGAGAGGAAGCGAUGUAGAUUCUAAAACUUUCUAAACUAUGACACACUUGCAUCUUUUAUGCUUUUUGAUAGGUGGAUCACAUGAUAUAGCUCCUGUUUUUGUUUUGAAUUUUUACUUCUGUACUUGUAGUAUCACCUAAAACUUGUAGAAGUCAGAACAGAACAGACUGGUGGCACUGUUCCAUUUAUCGAUAGCAUCUGACCUAGGGAUGUCAGUGGGGCGGGUUUUGCGGGAGAUCCGCCCCGCAUCCGCCCCAAGUAGGCGGGGAUGGAGGUAGGUUUGGCGGGUGAUGGGGCGGGGAUGGGUAUAAAAAUCGUACCCGCCAUGGGUGAUGGGGCGGGUGUGGAUUUUGUGUUGAACCCGCCCCAUCCCCGCCCGCCCCGCCCCGCCCCAUCCCCAUUCUCCCCGCCCCAUCCCCACUCGCCCCGCUUCAUACCCGCAAUGGGUGAUGGGGUGAAUUUGGAUUUAUUUGCAUCUUUAGGUGAUAAUAUAAAUUUAGGUGAGAUUUUUAUAUUUUUUGUUUGGAUUUUUUUUGUUAUGACGAGUAUUUUUUUCGAUUAUAUAAGUUACUUUAGUCAUAAGGUAUUUUUUUUCUAUAGUUAACUUUGAUUACUCCGUAUAUAUGGCAAAUGUUUGCUAAAUAAGAAAAAUUAGGCGGGUAUUAGCGCGGGUAUGAAGCGGGGAUAAGACGGGGAUGGAUACCCAGUUGGGUGGCGGGGCGGGGAUGGAUUUUAGCUUACACCCGUUGGGGCGGGGAUGGGGAUGAACUUUGUACCCGCCAUGGGUGAUGGGGCGAGGAUGGGGAUGGAGGGACCUACAUCCGCAUCCGCCCCGCCCCAUUGACAUCCCUAAUCUGACCGAAAUGUUUUCCAGCUUGACUUGGUUCUGGAUUCUAUGCUUUCAAUGCUUUUUCAAUGCUUUUUGACAGGUGGAAAUUGAAAAUCCUCAAGUAUUCCGAACAAAGCUGGUUCUGGAUUCUAUUCCCUACUGGAAAAUAAGUUAGACUCUGAUUUUCGGCUUCUAGAAGUGGUGUAGAUGCUCGAGCAAAGUGUUUCUCUUCUUUUCCGCUGAAUGUGAAUCUCUAUCAAGUGAACCACCAAACAAAAGCAAGAAUUUGAAUUUCACAUUGCAGACAGGAAAUGAACCCAGAAUCGUGAGAACCCAUUCCAGUUUCAGGACUUUCCGAGGCACGGCACUCGGCAGACACACUUUGGGAGUCCUUUCUAAUCUUCACAAGCAGUGGAGCCUUGGCAAAGUAACUACUGCAUACUUUUGAUUAAGUGCUAGAAUGUUUAGUACACAUAAUUAUAGAUGAGAUUAUGUAGCAUUUAUAUAAACUUUGUUAAAUUGACAAUAUUCUUGCCACUUGUUAGAGGUGUUAUCUUUGAUGAGCUGGCUGGUUAGCUGGUCCCACUGAUUGAUUAGUUACAUUCUAAUUGGACACAAGCAGCUUAAUCAAGUAUUAUGUUUCUACUCUUAAAUUA